RNAcentral lists this ribosomal RNA (253 nucleotides) under uncultured bacterium. RNAcentral describes it as "partial 16S ribosomal RNA". It matches the Rfam family "Bacterial small subunit ribosomal RNA", at positions 524 to 776 of the family's 1533-position model. The record is from RNAcentral.
UACGAAUGGAGCAAGCGUUGUUCGGAAUCACUGGGCUUAAAGCGUAUGUAGGCGGACUGUAAAGUCAGGAGUGAAAUCCCGAGGCUCAACCUCGGAACUGCUCUUGAAACUCACAGUCUAGAAUCCUGGAGAGGUUAGGAGAAUUCCGAGUGUAGAGGUGAAAUUCGCAGAUAUUCGGAGGAAUACCAGUGGCGUAGGCGCCUAACUGGACAGGUAUUGACGCUCAGAUACGAAAGCGUGGGGAGCAAACAGG